Molecule: ribosomal RNA, 255 nt
Filed under: uncultured bacterium
Lineage: Bacteria
Description: partial 16S ribosomal RNA
Rfam family: Bacterial small subunit ribosomal RNA
Source: RNAcentral
CGCAUACGUCCUACGGGAGAAAGCAGGGGACCUUCGGGCCUUGCGCUAUCAGAUGAGCCUAGGUCGGAUUAGCUAGUUGGUGAGGUAAUGGCUCACCAAGGCUACGAUCCGUAACUGGUCUGAGAGGAUGAUCAGUCACACUGGAACUGAGACACGGUCCAGACUCCUACGGGAGGCAGCAGUGGGGAAUAUUGGGCAAUGGGCGAAAGCCUGAUCCAGCCAAGGCGCGUGUGUGAAGAAGGUCUUCGGAUUGUA